CCGUGCCUGGCUCAGUGGCAGAGCAUCCGCCUGAUAAGUGGAAGAUCGCUGGUUCGAUUCCAGCGGCACGGA
This 72-nucleotide transfer RNA is filed under the name Planctomycetota bacterium. RNAcentral describes it as "Planctomycetes bacterium (soil metagenome) tRNA-Ile". It matches the Rfam family "tRNA". From Rfam's summary of the family: Transfer RNA (tRNA) molecules are approximately 80 nucleotides in length. Their secondary structure includes four short double-helical elements and three loops (D, anti-codon, and T loops). Further hydrogen bonds mediate the characteristic L-shaped molecular structure. tRNAs have two regions of fundamental functional importance: the anti-codon, which is responsible for specific mRNA codon recognition, and the 3' end, to which the tRNAs corresponding amino acid is attached (by aminoacyl-tRNA synthetases). tRNAs cope with the degeneracy of the genetic code in two manners: having more than one tRNA (with a specific anti-codon) for a particular amino acid; and 'wobble' base-pairing, i.e. permitting non-standard base-pairing at the 3rd anti-codon position. Lineage: Bacteria; Pseudomonadati; Planctomycetota. The record is from RNAcentral.